UGAAGAGGUGCCUUCCACCAAGAUUGUAAUUUCCCGAGGUCUCCCCAGCCACGUGGAACUAUUGUAAAACAGUAGAAGACUGAAGGAUUGCAGAGUGCAGAGCAACAGGAAAACUUGUCCAAGACCCACCGAGCUGUAAUCUUCCUUAGACUUCCUCUUUUUUUGCUGCUACCCUGUAGUGUGAUCAGCUUGAAUCUGGAAGCCAGCUGUCUCGGGCACUGCUGGAGAGAUGUGCCUGCAUCCCCUUCACUUUCUACCAUGAUUGUAAAUUUCCGGAGGCCUCCGUUGCCAUACUUCCUGUACAGCCUGCAGAACUGUGAGUCAAAUUAAUUCUAUUUUCUUUAUAAAUUAUCCAGUCUAAGGUAAUUCUUUAGAGUGGUGUGACAAAGGAUUAAUACAGAAAAUUGCUACCAGAGAAGUAGGGCAUUACUUUAAAGACACAUGAAAAUGUAGAAGCACCUUUGGAACUGAGUGGAGAGGGUUGGAACAGUUGGGAUGACUCAGAAAAAAAACAGGAUGAUGAGGGAAAGUUUGGAACUUUCUAGAAAUUUGUUGAAUGGUUUUGACCAAAAUGUUAGUAGUGAUAUGGACAAAGAUGGCCAUGCUGAUGAGGUCCCUGAUGGAGAUUAGGAACUUAUUGAGAACUGGAGUAAACACCACUCUUGCUAUGCUUUAGUAAAGAGGCUAAUGACAUUGUGUCACUGCUCUAAAUAUCUGUGGAAAUUUUGAACUUGAAAGAGAUGAUUUAGGGUAUCUGUUGGAAGAAAUGUCUAAACAGCCAAGUGUUCAAGAAGUAAGCUGGCUGCUUCUAACAGCAUGUUCUUGCAUGCAUUCACAAAAAGAAGGUCUGAAGUUGGAACUUAUAUUUAAAAGUUAAGGAGAGUCUAAAAGUUUGAAAAACUUGCGGCCUGACCAUGUGAUAGAAAAGAAAAAUCAAAUAUCUGGGGAGAAAUUCAAGCCAGCUGCAGAAAUGUACAUGAAUACAGAGGAGCCAAAUGUUAAUUGCCAAGACAAUGGGGAAAAUGUCUCCAGAGCAUUUCAGAGACCUUUCCAGCAGCCCCACCCAUACAGGCCUGGAGACCUACAAGGAAAAAUGGUUCCAUGCACUAGGCCCAGGGUCCCACUGCUCUGUGCAGCCUUGGGACACAAUGCCUGCUUCCCAGCCACCCCAGCUCCAGCAAUGGUGAAAGGGACCAAGGUACAGUUUGGGCCAUUGCUUCAGAGUGUGCAAGUCCCAAGCCUUAGUGGCUUCCACGUGGUGUUGGGCCUGAGGGUGCACAGAAGGCAAGAGCUGAGGUUUGGGAACCUCUGCCUAGAUUUCAGAGGUUGCAUGGAAACAACUGGAUGUCCAGGGAGAAGUCUGCUGCAGGAGCAGAGCCCUCAUGGAGAACCUCUACUAGGGCAGCAUGAGGGGAAAAUAUGGGAUUGAAGAUCCCACACAGAGUUCCCACUGGGGCACUGUCUAUUGUAGCUGUGAGAAGAUCCUUCAGAUCCCAGAAUGGUAGAUCCACUAACAGCUUGCACCGUGUGCUAGGACAGGCUGCAGGCACUUAAUGCCAGCCAUGUGAAAGCAGCCUCAGGUGCUGUACCCUGCACAGCCACAGGGAAGCAGCUGCCCAAGGCCUUGGGAGCCCACCUCUUUCAUCACUGUGGACCCGAUAUAAGACAUCAAGUCAAAGGAUAUUAUUUUGGAGCUUUAAGAUGUAAUGACUGCCCUGCUGGGUCUUGUAGUUAUAUAGGGCCUGUCGCCCUUUGUUUUGGCUGAGUUCUCCUUUUUGGAUAGGAGCAUUUACCCAAUGCCUUUAUGCCCAUUGUAUUUUGGACGUAACUAACUUGUUUUUUAUUUUAUAGGCUCAUGGGUGGAAGGGACUUGCCUUCUCUCAAAUGAGACUUUGGACUUGGGACUUUUGAGUUAAUGCUGAAAUGAACUAAGACUUGGCAGACUGUUGUGAAGGCGUGAUUAUGUUUUAAAAUAUGAGAAGUACAAGAGAUUAGGGAGGGGCCAAGGCAGAAUGAUAUGAUUUGGCUCUGCAUCCCCAGCCAAAUCUCUUGUUAAAUUAUAAUCCUCAGUGUUUUGGAAGGCACCCUGCGGGAGGUGAUUGGAUCAUGGGAGUGGUUUUCUGCGGCUGUUCUCAUGAUGGUGAGGUGGGUUCUCAUGAGAUCUGGUUGUUUGAAAGAGUGUAGCACUUCCUCCUAUGCCCUGCUCUCUCUUCUGCUUCAUCAUUGUGAAGAUGUGUCUACUUCCUCUUUGCCUUCCAUCAUGAUUGUAAGUUUCCUGAGGUCUCUCCAGCCAUGAUUCCUGUACAGCCUACAGAACUGUGAGUUAAUUAAAGCUCUGUUUUUUUUUUCUUUACAAAUUACCCAGUCUCGGGUAGUUCUUUAUAGCAGUGUGAGAACAGACUAAUAUAUCUGUAAGUAAAAUAAAACAAAAAUUAAGCACAUAAAAAUGAAGAUAGUGCAAAGGAGAGGAGUAUAGCAUUUAAAAGGAAAUAAAGCAGUAAAUAAACAGAUAAAAGUAUGUAUAAUAAAGCCAUUUUCCUUAACAAAGGUAAUGAUUGUAGAUACUGCAUAUAUAUAUUACAUAUGUAUCUACUAUGUAUAUCCCUACCAUAUAUAUCUACUAUAUAUCUAUCUAUACUAUAUAUAUAUAGUAGAGUAUUGUAUAUACAUGUAUCUACUAUAUAUAUAUGUCUACUCUCUCUAUAUAUAUGCACUAUAUGUUUAUUAAAUAUAUAUCUGUGUCCCUUCUUGGCCAUUCUAUUGACUUCCUUCAUAAGUAAAAUUCAAUAUUACUGUUCCCUGAUGUCACAAAUCUUGGGAUCUAUUAUUAUACAUCAUGUAAAAUCUGAAAUUAACUAGAUUACUGUUAUAAUAUGAACAUAAUUUAUCUUUAAUAAGUUAAAACUGAUUUGCCAUAUUUGAUGUUAAUGAGUGUUAUAGGGAAGAGCUCUAAAGUAACAAUUACUAGAUUGAAAUUAAGAAUAAUUUUCUGAGCAUUGUUAGCAAUAUUACAUCACAUGUAUCAUAUGUCCUCUUGUAAAGUAUGAGAGAAAUAUCUCUGGUUCUCAACAUUUCUUUAGCUGUUGUGAUGCUAUAAUAAAACAUUUCUUAAUUACAUUGCACUGUGAUGCAGGUGUGAUAUAAACCUAUAUUUGCUUAAUUCAUUUAAUGUAAAUAAACUAACUGUUUUUCCGACCUCAUUAUAGUAUGUGGUUUCAAUAAAAUAGUUUUUUGCAUUUUUCCUAUGGCCCUGCAGAACUCAUGUUAUUUUAGUAUUGGUUGAAAAUACUAUCCAUUACAACAGAUAACUAGGAGGGCAGUGCAGGGAGGCAUGGUAAACUUAUGAUUUCCCCAGUUUUGAUUUAUUGAUCAAAGUGAAUAAGCUCAUGAUCUGUGGUUUCAUUGUGAUAAAAAAAAAAAACUGUCAUUAUAUUCUAUAAUAUCAUUUUAUAAUACUUUUGAUACAUUAUCUUCUUUUUAUUCCAGUUAUUCAGAUACUGGCACCCAUUGUCCACCAAGCCUGGGACCACAUAAAACAGUCCGUUUGAAAUUUCCAUUGACCAAACUUAAUCUUUGUGGCACAAGGGAUGUCUACAGCUUUGCCUUUCCUAAGAAAAACCAGUUAAUUUUAGAACCACAAGUAUUUUCCAAGAAACACUCCCAUAAUCACAUCAUCUUCUUGGCAUACCUUCCCUUUCAUCACUGAGAAUUGCCAGUCUGUAAGUGGGAUGUUUAUGUAUAGAAGAAAUCUACAUGGAAUAAAUGAAAUAAUAUAGUUUCAACUCCCCAAGAUGAGGAACCUUAUGCAAAGAAGUUGAGUAAAUUGUAUAAGACCGUAUUCUAAGAGGUGGUGGAGUUAAAAUUGGAAUCCAGACCACGUAAGCCCAAAGGCUGUCUCAUAAUUCCUACCAUGCUUUUCUCAUUCUCCUUUUACUUUGCCGGCCCUAUUGUUUCACUACUCAAAAGCUAUAAUAUUUCCAUUUCUUUUAUAAAUGGCAAGCUUAUCUCACAAUGUAAAUAUUCACUUGUAGAGUAAUUUACUCAUGAGUGGCUCCAACUCGGCAUCUCCGACUCUCCUUUGUUACUCAAAAUGCUUGCUGAAAAGUUCCACUUGUGCCUUAAAGUGUUAUCACUUUGAAUUCAAAAUGUGCUGUGGCCGUUUAAAGAAGGGACAAAGAAGACAAAGUCUGCUUCAUCAUAAUUCAGACAGUUCUAUUAGUACUUGCCCAGUAAUUAAGGCUAAUGAUAUGUCUCCCAAAACCUUUGGCUAAUGGCAUUUUAAUAUUCACUGUCAUUUUUAUCCUUUUUCUAUAUGUUCUCUUUUUGUUAUUGUUCACUAUAAGCUGUACUCAACAGUUUAUAUCAAGUUGUUUUUUUUUUUUUAUUUUGUUAGUCACUUUCCCACGGGAAAGAUUCUCAGUAUCUAGUUUUACCACCAUUCUUUCUCUUCCACAAUUCCUGUCUUAGUCAAUUUGUGUUGCUAUAAAGGAAUAUCUGAGUCUGGAUAAUUUAGAAGGAAAAUUAUCUCAUGUUUUUGCAGGCUGUACAAGGUGCGUGAUGCCCACAUAUGCUUUGAUUAGGGCCUCACACUGCUUCCACUCAUGGCAGAAGGCAAAUAGGAGCCAGCAAAUGCAGAAACCCUAUGGGCAAGAGAGAGGCAGGAGGUUCCGUGCUUUUUUUCCCCCCUGAGAUGGAGUCUCGCUUU
This is a long non-coding RNA of Cebus imitator (Panamanian white-faced capuchin), 4705 nucleotides long. RefSeq lists it as uncharacterized. NCBI's taxonomy places the organism in Eukaryota, Metazoa, Chordata, Mammalia, Primates, Cebidae. The transcript is spliced from 4 exons. The record is from RefSeq and is a predicted model, not a curated record.